GGAUGUGAGGGCGAUCUGGCUGCGACAUCUGUCACCUCAUUGAUCGCCAGGGUUGAUUUGGCUGAUCUGGCUGGCUAGGCGGGUGUCCCCUUUGCCCCUCACCACUCCAUGUGCAUCCCUCCCAAAGCUGCGCACUCGGUGGAAGAGGAUGACCAUCCCAGAUAGAAGGAGUGUACCGUUCUUUGGUCAAGGGUAUAUGAUAGCUUCGCUUCCCUGCUAGAACCUUCAAACAAGCCCAACCACCUGUUUUAACACAAUUGGCCCUGCUUCAGAUGUUACCUUUGUGUUUUUUGUGUGUCAAGAAUUCCC
Podarcis lilfordi (Lilford's wall lizard) is the source of this 309-nucleotide non-coding RNA. NCBI's taxonomy places the organism in Eukaryota, Metazoa, Chordata, Lepidosauria, Squamata, Lacertidae. The record is from the annotation of a GenBank genome assembly.